CUAUACCCUCGGUCGUCCGACGAGCCUCGUGCUCGCCGGCGCCGAAGGACCCGCGGUCUAAUCCUGUGUCAGUAAGGCACGCGUUCCGUGCCCGAACCUCAGCUCACAUAGCGAAAAAGUUCGUGAGAAGCGGCUUCACGGCCGCCGGGAUUAGAUGUCUGCACCCUCUGUUUACGUGUACCUUUGUUGUUUCCUCGGCAGGUCCGCCUGCCGCCAGGAACCCCAUAAACCCUUUUUGCAAUAGCAUCAAAACUUCUGAUAACAAACCUAAAUCGUUUA
RNAcentral lists this unclassified non-coding RNA (279 nucleotides) under uncultured Ascomycota. RNAcentral describes it as "sequence contains ITS1". Lineage: Eukaryota; Fungi; Ascomycota. The record is from RNAcentral.